Molecule: long non-coding RNA, 1073 nt
Organism: Anguilla anguilla (European eel)
Lineage: Eukaryota; Metazoa; Chordata; Actinopteri; Anguilliformes; Anguillidae
Exons: 3
Source: RefSeq, a predicted model, not a curated record
CUUGUUAAUUAUUUCAGAAAGAUUCCGCGACUGGAGGUCAGUUCAUGAAUAGUAAUUUAAAUCAUCACAGCUCUGUUGGCGUAAACGUGGGCCAGUCCUCCAGAGGCCUUCGUGGAUGAAGAACACAGGAAACGGUGGAGCCUGGCUUCUGUGUUCGAGAGCCGACCGCCUCGAGCCAAAGCAGGAUCGCAGGAAAAGCCACGAGGAGAGCAGCUCUCAUCUCUGCGUGCCUGCGUACCUCUUUUCAGAAGGAGGCAUUCUGGGCUUCAGGCACAUAGUAAACAAUGAAGUCCAGCUUUAAUGAUGUCAUAAAUCAAGUCAAGAACUUUCAGAAGCAGCAGUCAUCACUGGAGAAGAAAGGGAGAGAUUUCAAAUGAAUAGCAGUAAGUGUUUGAAUGUAUUCAAUCAUUUGAUGUGUUGUAAUAAAUGCAAUCUAGCAAUGAUAAGGACAAGUUUCACUCUAAGGUGUUUGAAAUGUGUAUAAAUGUAACAGUGAUUCAGUGAUUAUUUUUGUUCAUUAGCUUGCUUUGUCAUGUAGCCAGUAGUACUCUGCCAAUAGAUAGUAUUAAUAACGAAUAGAAUCAAGCUGGCUGUGUUGACCAUUGUCUGCAAAAAGUAUAGUCUAUUUUCUUUCAACUUCUAAAAUUAUUGAGCCAUUUCUAGAGAAGACAAGGUAUAAGGUUAUAUUUUUAAGGGACUAUAAGAAUUAGAAUAAUGGCAAGUUGCCCAGCUAGCCGAUACACAACUACACUACAUUGCUUUUUGGUAUGUGAAAACCCUAUGAUAUAUAUAGAAAAUGAAAAUAUGGGGAAACAUGAACAUGAGCAUUUAAAAUCAAUAAAAUAGCAGUGCAAUUCCAAAAGUAAGCAAUUUCUUCUGGUAUUUCCCCAUUUAACUUUAUUCCACACAACCUUACAUGUAAUUUCAUACUUGUAGGUGUCAGAAAUCUACUCUUGAGUAAUGAGAAGUAGUGGGCCAUUGGGGCAGUAGUGUAGUAUAAUGAGUACAAGGAACUGGUCUUGAAAUCUGAAGGUCACAAGUUCAAUUCCCAGGUAGGACACUGCCAUUGUACC